Molecule: ribosomal RNA, 253 nt
Filed under: uncultured bacterium
Lineage: Bacteria
Description: partial 16S ribosomal RNA
Rfam family: Bacterial small subunit ribosomal RNA
Source: RNAcentral
UACAGAGGUCCCAAGCGUUGUUCGGAUUCACUGGGCGUAAAGGGUGCGUAGGCGGUCGGGUAAGUCUGACGUGAAAUCUCCAAGCCUAACUUGGAAACUGCGUUGGAUACUAUCCGGCUUGAGGAAUGGAGGGGAGACUGGAAUACUUGGUGUAGCAGUGAAAUGCGUAGAUAUCAAGUGGAACACCAGUGGCGAAGGCGAGGCUCUGGACAUUUCCUGACGCUGAGGCACGAAAGCCAGGGGAGCAAACGGG